Molecule: ribosomal RNA, 253 nt
Filed under: uncultured bacterium
Lineage: Bacteria
Description: partial 16S ribosomal RNA
Rfam family: Bacterial small subunit ribosomal RNA
Source: RNAcentral
UACGUAGGGGGCAAGCGUUGUCCGGAUUUACUGGGCGUAAAGAGCGUGUAGGCGGCCACGCAGGUCCGUUGUGAAAACUGGAGGCUCAACUUCCAGCCGUCGACGGAAACCGUGUGGCUAGAGUCCGGGAGAGGAGAGUGGAAUUCCUGGUGUAGCGGUGAAAUGCGCAGAUAUCAGGAAGAACACCAAUGGCGAAGGCAGCUCUCUGGGACGGUACUGACGCUGAGACGCGAAAGCGUGGGGAGCGAACAGG